RNAcentral lists this long non-coding RNA (302 nucleotides) under Lupinus angustifolius (narrow-leaved blue lupine). Its description in RNAcentral is "long non-coding RNA (LANG_LNC002749)". The record is from RNAcentral. Lineage: Eukaryota; Viridiplantae; Streptophyta; Magnoliopsida; Fabales; Fabaceae.
AAUUACUUAAGAUCCUCAAAUGAUCUUGAAUCUUCACAAUUCUUUGCUGCUUCUAUAUCUCAUACAUAUUCAUUUCUUUCUUUGAUACAAUAUCUGACUUACACAUAUGGAACUCAUCACAAGGUUACGAUCGACCAAACUUCGCGAAGAAGUUGAUAUCUAGCAUCGAUCGUAGACCGACUUCCUCGCUCUUUGUGAUUAUCUUCUCCAUUAACAGUGAGUGUUGGAGAUGAAGAAUGGUUACCAAUGAUGGAUGUAAAUGGAGAAUCAAGUUCCUCAUGUUCUUCAUCACUUGUAUAUCC